UUAGCAAAGUCUGUGCGUCAAAAGCUCCUCAUGGUGUUCAUACCGUAGGAUGACUUAUGGAGAAAUGAGGUGGAGUUGGGAUGGGAUCGAUAGAUGACCGAUGAUGUAGACUUUCUCAUAUGGCCGACCUCCUGUGAUCGGCUAUGAGCUGAUGAUAUCGAUGAUGAGUAGGUAGGAUGCACGUCACAAAUUGUCCACAUCAUAAUGUCAGGUGUUUGCCACAUCUUUGAAGGUCGGACAUAUCAUCACAUAGACCAAAUAUGGUCUAACAACCAUAAUCCUUGGCUCACGGUCCC
Molecule: long non-coding RNA, 296 nt
Filed under: Elaeis guineensis (African oil palm)
Lineage: Eukaryota; Viridiplantae; Streptophyta; Magnoliopsida; Arecales; Arecaceae
Description: long non-coding RNA (EGUI_LNC028193)
Source: RNAcentral